RNAcentral lists this ribosomal RNA (274 nucleotides) under uncultured bacterium. RNAcentral describes it as "partial 16S ribosomal RNA". It matches the Rfam family "Bacterial small subunit ribosomal RNA", at positions 523 to 796 of the family's 1533-position model. The record is from RNAcentral.
AUACGGAGGGGGCUAGCGUUGUUCGGAUUUACUGGGCGUAAAGCGCACGUAGGCGGUUUAUCAAGUUAGGCGUGAAAGCCCCGGGCUCAACCCGGGAACUGCGCUUAUUACUGAUAGACUAGAGAGCGGGAGAGGGUAGCGGAAUUCCCAGUGUAGAGGUGAAAUUCGUAGAUAUUGGGAAGAACACCAGUGGCGAAGGCGGCCACCUGGCCCGGUACUGACGCUGAGGUGCGAAAGCGUGGGGAGCAAACAGGAUUAGAUACCCGAGUAGUCC